Molecule: long non-coding RNA, 4169 nt
Organism: Passer domesticus (house sparrow)
Lineage: Eukaryota; Metazoa; Chordata; Aves; Passeriformes; Passeridae
Exons: 4
Source: RefSeq, a predicted model, not a curated record
CAACUUGGUAUCAAGUGCUCUCUAGUUCUCCUUUUGUUAAUCUCUGCACAUAGGAAUAAAUGUCUCAGUAAUGCCAAAUCCUGUGUAAGCAGGGACGCCACUGCUCCCAUCCUGGUUAAAAAGACUAGUCUCCCUCAGCCCAGAACAGUUGCUUUUCUUCAAAAUAUACUUUGUCUUCACCUGAAGCACCAGAUUCCGAUUCCUCCAAGAGAAAGGACAAUAAUCUCUAAGGCACUGGUGCUCUUGAAAGAGUAGCUCGUUUGUUUGAGAUAUAUGAUGUAUAUACCAUUGCUACUACUUUUUCAAUUUUACUCAGGUUGGGACUUCACUUAAUCUACUGAAUACUGAAGACAAGGCAGUGCCCCAGUGGAUCAGUUUAUCUAAUCUCUGGAAUGAGAAAGAUCAUCUCCAUGGAAGAAAAACUUUGUGGGCAGAGAGAGGGUAAGAAGGAACAAGGAUUUUUCAGACAUGAUGGCAGACAAUCCUUUCCUUGGAGAGUCAGAUGCAACUGGGUGGAUUAUUUGAGGCCUGAAAAAAACAAAAGAAAAUCAUGUACUAAGAACAAAUCUGACAGAAAGGACUUGACCUAAAAGGCCACCAUAGGGAGAGUACAGAUUUUUCUAAAAAAUCCUAAAUUUUUUUCUGUCUCAUUCUGCUCUUAAAAUGUUCUUUCCUUCUAGUGCUUACAAAUUCCUACGUAGUCUAUGAAAUCCAUGGUUUUGGAAAGUACGGUUGUAAACUUACAAAAAGCCUUUCUAUAUUUAUGAAGCUCACCAUUUCAAAUUUGCAAGCAGAUCCCCCUCAAAAUAUUGACCAACUUGGAAAACUGACAGAACAAACAUUCAGCCAUACUUGACCAUCCAGGAAACUACCGAAAAGGAAACGUAUAUAGAUGGCAUAUAAACAAGAUUCAUACUAUCUAAAAGUUAUUUCUGUUUUAGCAGUGUAAGAUUUUAGCUAGUUUCAGAGGAAAAAACCCCAAAAUGACUGAUCUGUAAGCAUUUCAGACAGUAAUAUAAAGUAUUCAAUACUUGAAGUUCCUGGUGAAAAUUGUGGAGGUCCUGUGCCCUCAGGCACAAAUAUGUAUAAUCUCACAAAGCUAAACUCAAGUGGACUAUAUUCCAAAGCCUUCACGAAUGAAACAUAUGCAUAAUUCUCACAUUAAUGAUGACUUAACAUUGGAAAAAGAAACCUUUCUAUCACUACAAGUAUUGGGUGAGCAGACAACAAACACUGGAAAAAUUACUGAGAUCUUCAUUUUAUGAUUGGGUUCAGCUGAAAGAACUAGUCACUAGUUACAGCAUGGACUGGAUAACCUCCUCUUUUUUCCUUCCAGAGUGACUUUGACCUUAGGAUAGAGGGGUUAAAUGGUAAAAAACAGUGGUUAGCCACAGACUUAAGAUCAAAACACAGACCAAGUGUUCACACCUGGUUAAAACUAAUUGAAGAGAAAGUAUACACCAUCAAUAAUUUUACAAAGGCAUAAUGGUAUGAUGUAAUUCGGAACUGAUUACAAAUAUUUUCAUCAAAAUUCUGUUUAAUAUUUAAUAAAAUAUAAUUAUUGAAUUUAAAUGUAUAAGAGAUGUUAUUAAUAUUAAGGAAUAAAAAUAUAUUACAAUUUGCAAUAUGCGAUAAUACAUUAAAAUAUUUGAAGAAGCUUACUUCUGGAUAAAAGCAGGAUUUUAUUUCAAUAGUAAAAAAAUAAAUCAGGGGGUCUUCAGCUACAUGAUGCAGGUAUCAAAAACUCAAAGAAAAUUUCUUUGUUGAGUUCCCACUCUCCAGACAGUAUGCUUUUCUCUCCAGUGACACAAAGGCAUGUUUACAUUAAUCUAAUAUAUAAGUGCCAUUCGGAAAAGUGUUGGGAAUUAUAUAGGGAAGUUAAAUAUCUGCUCUAUUUUCACACUUCCCAUCAGUAUUUCAGUCACUCCAAGAUUUUGGGAUGAUGCACCUUAGGAAGGUUUAGGCAGCUCUGACAAAAAAAAAAAAAGUAGACUAAAAGAUGUCUGCCAACUGUUAAGGGGAGAUUGGGAGUGGUGGUCACUGGAACAGAACUACCUUGCUCAUGGAAAUGUGAUCUAAACUUAUUUGAUUAACAGGGUGGUAUAUGUGGGUGGAUAACAAUUUCUUUCCUCAAAAACAAAUGUCCACAGAAGCCAGCUUACUCUAGAUCAGCAUAAGACCCAGAAGCAUAUGGCACUUGCUCCUUCCUCUCAGUUGAUGUGUCAGGUCCAUAGAUGGAAAAACAAUUUUGCAGUCUCCAGCUUCCACUUGUUGGAUGUCCACCUAUAGUGUCUCCCUAAAAGUCUGUUGUUCAAAAAUUUAUGACAUUAGUUUGUUGGCAUUAGUUGUCUACUCCUUUACUAAGCACAUACCAUCAGGAUGUCCUUUUGAUCAUUCUUCUUCAACAUGUGAUGAACAUCAGAAAAAUCUCUCAGUUAAAACUUUAAAUGUUGAUAAUCAAAAUUAGCUAUAUAAAAGAUAGUUGCCAGAUUUUCAGAGGUUUCAGAGGGCUUUUAGGCCUCAUUAUCAUUAAUUGGGUCAGAAUUGCACAGUACUUGUGAAAAGUCAGGCUGCACAAUGAAGUGACAGAAUAUGGCCUCAAUUUCCUAAUUUUAGACACAGCAAUAUGGCAAACUAUGCCUGUAAGAAUUUCUGACAGUUCAUAGGUGCAAUUCAUAGAGUUGUUCUACAGUUCUAAGGUCACUAUGGAAUGUUGUACAUUUAAGUUUGCUUAGAUUAUUUACUCUAUUAGUGUCUUAUGGUAUUAAUCCUAGUCAGUGCCAUACAGACAGAAUUGAUGACUACUUAUGAGGUCAUAACUGCAACAUUGCCAGUUGAUAAAGGUUAGAAGCAUUAGAGCUUAUUUUUCCUGUAGGACACAGCAUGCUAGAAUUUAAUUGUAAUCUUGCUUCAUUACCCAUCACAUUCCCUAUUAAAUAGCACAAUAAUUGUCUUUAUGUCUUUAUUUCUCACAUCCUAAAUUAUUGCCAUUUGGGAUCAUAAAAAAUCAUUCCUAUAUAGUUGAAUGCAUUACUUUACACUGAAAAUUAUUUUUUUCUAAUUACUUAGGAAUUUAUAGUUAGGAUCCCGAUUGAAGGACUGUCAACCUUACUUCAGGGAUUUUUAUAGCAAUUUGAGGAGAUUUAACUGUAUAUUAUAUUUCACCCCCAAAAAAGGAACAGCUGGCCUAUUUAUGUACAUCAGCAAAUGUCAGCUCCUUUAGAAAAUUAAGAGCUUACUGCAUCAUUAUCAUCCCCAAAAUAACCAGUAGCUAGUAGAGACAGAAUUUCAUGUUUUCUACUGCUUGGAGUAGGUCUUUUCCACUUUAUCAACAUUAAGAAGUAUUGUCAUUAUUUUUAAUAGUAAUAAUAUUCAUUAGAUUAACAAGAACCUGUCUUAGAGUACUGGAAUGAGUGUCAAGCUAGACUUCAUUGCCAAAUCCAAAUAGCUUCUGUCAAAGUAAGUGCACUUGUGUCUGAAGAGGAGCAUGUCUACUUCCUUAAGGUUUAUUUUGUUGCCAGAGGUGUUGAUUUAAAUUAAUUGCUCUGUUUAGACAAUUAGCUUUGCAACUUUUUUACAGGGAAAAGGGUUUACGGGUGACUCCAAUUAAAAGUCUUUGCAUCACAUAAUUACACUUAAAACAUUGUAAGCAUUUUUAUCACUAAAUAUAUGAUCCAUAAAUGGGUCACUUAUUAUUGUUUCACCUGCUCAUUACACAAGAAAUUUCAAACCAGCUGGACUUUCCCCUGGUUGUGACUUAAGGCACUAGGCACCUCUAUACAAUUUCACCUUAGACCUGAAAGACUUGUUGCUUCUAAUAGACUCAUUUCAAUGAAAAAUGUGACAUGUCCAUCUAUAACUUAAAUUUAGCUUUUAUGCUUAUGAACUAGAACUCUGGUUUUUGUAUGUUGGUUUGUUUAGGUUUUUUUUAACCACUACUGUUAACAUUUUAAAUUUUUUUUUAAAAACCCAAACUGAAGAUUACUUGCAUAUAAAGUUUGGCAUAUACAGAAUAGCAGUAAUAAAAUUUCAUUUUGUGUCAUAUUUCUAAUUUGUACUUUCAACAAGAAUUUUGCUACUUAAAAUAAUGAACAGUCAUGUGAUUUUGGUAUUUAGCUAUUCGCUUAUAUUCUGCUAAACAACAUGAAGAAAAAAAUGUGGCCUUAUUA